UAGGGAAUCUUCGGCAAUGGACGAAAGUCCGACCGAGCAACGCCGCGUGAGUGAAGAAGGUUUUCGGAUCGUAAAACUCUGUUGGUAGAGAAGAACGUUGGUGAGAGUGGAAAGCUCAUCAAGUGACGGUAACUACCCAGAAAGGGACGGCUAACUACGUGUCAG
RNAcentral lists this ribosomal RNA (165 nucleotides) under uncultured bacterium. Its description in RNAcentral is "partial 16S ribosomal RNA". It matches the Rfam family "Bacterial small subunit ribosomal RNA", at positions 355 to 511 of the family's 1533-position model. The record is from RNAcentral.